This 1194-nucleotide ribosomal RNA is filed under the name Triticum aestivum (bread wheat). RNAcentral's name for it is "partial small subunit ribosomal RNA". The record is from RNAcentral. Lineage: Eukaryota; Viridiplantae; Streptophyta; Magnoliopsida; Poales; Poaceae.
AUGGAGAAGAGGAAGAAGGUGGAGGAGGACGAGGAGCAGAAGCAGCCGGCGGCGGCGGAGAGCUCCUGGGGGGCCGACCUGCUUCCGGAGAUCCUCCGGGAGAUCCUGUCGCGGGUGCCGUACCGGUCGCUGUGCCGCUUCAGGUGCGUGUCCAAGGCGUGGCUGGCGCUCUGCUCCGACCCGGCCGUCCGCAGGAGGUCGCCGCAGACGCUCUCCGGCUUCUUCUGCUACUCCCAGCACGACGUCGGCGGCGGCCAGCGCCGCGACGGCCUCAGCUUCCUCAACCUGUCCGGGUGGGGCCGGCCGCUGGUCGACGACCCCUCCCUCCUCUUCGUGCGCGUGCGUGGCUACUGCGACGUCACGCCCCUGCACUGCUGCGGCGGCAUCCUCCUCUGCUACUGCGAGAAGGUGGCCAUGAGCGACGACGGGAACUAUGUCGUGUGCAACCCUGCCACCAAGGAGAUCUGGGCCGUGCUGUCUGUGCCCCGAAACAAGAUCAUGACACGCCUCAACACUGCCCGCCUCUGCUUCGACCCCGCCGCCCCCGGCCGAUUCGUGGUGUUCGUGUUCGUGCAAAGUUUUCGUGGGAUUCAGACGGUGGAGGCCUAUUCCUCGGACACCGGACGGUGGACCUCCAUGCGGAGCGAGUGGAACCCCAAGACCCUCCUCCUCGGUGAGGAUUCAGAAUGCGUCUUCUUGAACGGCACUUUGCAUCUGGUCGAUGCCGACCAUUCUGAUGCCGAUUUUGACUGGGAGGGGAAUCUGAUACGCUGGAUGGUGACUGUGGACAUGGAGGGUAAAACAUGGAGGAAGAUCCGAAUGCCGGAUUGCAUCUAUAAUGGUUUCAUCGGGCAGUCGCAAGGACGCCUAUACGCAACGCAUGUUGAAACUGAAGGUAGGUGCCGGCUAUCCGUUUGGGUUCUUGAGGAUUAUGCCAGCGGACAAUGGACCCUGAAGUGUACUGCCAGCAUUUUAGAAAUGCUAGGAAGGCCUCACCAUGAGCCCGGCGAACACUACACACUGAUCGCGAUCCAUCCAGAGUGCAGUUUGAUCUUCCUAGUAGUGAGCCGUGGAAAAACACUUAUGUCGUACGAUAUGGAUACCAGUAAACUGAGUAUUAUCUGCACUUUCGGAGACCGCCAGCCACGAAGAUUUCAGCCGUACAUUCCAUGUUUUGCGGAGAAGCCUAAAUAA